CAGCAGUCGCCGCGGUAAUACCGAGGGUGCAAGCGUUAAUCGGAUUUACUGGGCGUAAAGCGCACGUAGGCGGCUUGGUAAGUUAGAGGUGAAAGCCCGGAGCUCAACUCCGGAAUUGCCUUUAAGACUGCCGAGCUAGUAGGUGAGAGAGGUAAGUGGAAUUCCGAGUGUAGAGGUGAAAUUCGUAGAUAUUCGGAAGAACACCAGUGGCGAAGGCGGCUUACUGGCUCAUUCUAGACGCUGAGGUGCGAAAGCGUGGGGAGCAAACAGGAUUAGAUACCCCCGUAGUCCCUGUCUCUUAUAC
Molecule: ribosomal RNA, 304 nt
Filed under: uncultured bacterium
Lineage: Bacteria
Description: partial 16S ribosomal RNA
Rfam family: Bacterial small subunit ribosomal RNA
Source: RNAcentral